AAUAGAUACCCUGGUAGUCCACGCCCUAAACGAUGUCAACUAGUUGUUGGGGAUUCAUUUCCUUAGUAACGUAGCUAACGCGUGAAGUUGACCGCCUGGGGAGUACGGUCGCAAGAUUAAAACUCAAAGGAAUUGACGGGGACCCGCACAAGCGGUGGAUGAUGUGGAUUAAUUCGAUGCAACGCGAAAAACCUUACCUACCCUUGACAUGGUCGGAACCCUGCUGAAAGGUGGGGGUGCUCGAAAGAGAACCGGCGCACAGGUGCUGCAUGGCUGUCGUCAGCUCGUGUCGUGAGAUGUUGGGUUAAGUCCCGCAACGAGCGCAACCCUUGUCCUUAGUUGCUACGCAAGAGCACUCUAAGGAGACUGCCGGUGACAAACCGGAGGAAGGUGGGGAUGACGUCAAGUCCUCAUGGCCCUUAUGGGUAGGGCUUCACACGUCAUACAAUGGUCGGAACAGAGGGUUGCCAAGCCGCGAGGUGGAGCCAAUCCCAGAAAACCGAUCGUAGUCCGGAUCGCAGUCUGCAACUCGACUG
Molecule: ribosomal RNA, 536 nt
Filed under: uncultured bacterium
Lineage: Bacteria
Description: bacterial SSU rRNA
Rfam family: Bacterial small subunit ribosomal RNA
Source: RNAcentral